Molecule: unclassified non-coding RNA, 149 nt
Filed under: uncultured fungus
Lineage: Eukaryota; Fungi
Description: sequence contains ITS1
Source: RNAcentral
UUAAAGAUUCGUUUCCGAUCAGACACAAAGCUAGAUGCAUAGACUCGGCGCGGAAGGCGCCGAAGCACUCCUCGUUUCCACGGGUUUGAGCGAAGGCGGCCCAAAGGCCCCGUUCAAUAAUGAUCCCUCCGCAGGUUCACCUACGGAGA